Procambarus clarkii (red swamp crayfish) is the source of this 652-nucleotide non-coding RNA. The record is from RefSeq and is a predicted model, not a curated record. NCBI's taxonomy places the organism in Eukaryota, Metazoa, Arthropoda, Malacostraca, Decapoda, Cambaridae.
AACUAAUUCUCAGGAAUGAAUGUCACAGUCUUCGGCGUCACCCUCAGGCUGGGGAGCAGGUCCCUGGCUCGUAGCCCCAACCCUCAGGCCGGGGAGCAGGUCCCUGGCUCAGUAGCCCCAACCCUCAGGCCGGGGAGCAGGUCCCUGGCUCGUCGCCCCAACCCUCAGGCUGGGGUGCAGGUCCCUGACUCGUAGCCCCAACCCUCAGGCCGGGGAGUAGGUCCCUGGCUCGUAGCCCCAACCCUCAGGCCGGGGAGCAGGUCCCUGGCUCGUAGCCCCAACCCUCAGGCCGGGGAGCAGGUCCCUGACUCGUAGCCCCAACCCUCAGGCCGGAGAGCAGGUCCCUGGCUCGUAGCCCCAACCCUCAGGCCGGGGAGCAGGUCCCUGGCUCGUCGCCCCAACCCAGCUCCCCGCGGGCACUCGGCGUUCCACGAGUGCAUACUGCUGCCCCCAGCUGUCUUUUCUCUAGUUUGUUGUUUACUUCAGUACUUUUAUAUUUUCAAAUAUUGUUUUGGAUAUUCCUCGAAAGAUUUUCAUUUUACACCGAGUCCACAGUAUAUUUGUCUCACUGAAGAGUCAUUGACUUAACGAGAAACAGGAAUUGAUGUGGAAGUGGUUUGGCCGGCCAGCGCGAGUACGAGGCUCAGGCCUC